GAUACGGCCCAGACUCCUACGGGAGGCAGCAGUGGGGAAUAUUGCACAAUGGGCGCAAGCCUGAUGCAGCGACGCCGCGUGAGGGAUGACGGCCUUCGGGUUGUAAACCUCUUUCAGCAGGGAAGAAGCGAAAGUGACGGUACCUGCAGAAGAAAGCGCCGGCUAACUACGUGCCAGCAGCCGCGGUAAUACGUAGGGCGCAAGCGUUGUCCGGAAUUAUUGGGCGUAAAGAGCUCGUAGGCGGUUUGUCGCGUCUGCUGUGAAAACCUAAGGCUCAACCUUGGGCUUGCAGUGGGUACGGGCAGACUAGAGUGCGGUAGGGGUGACUGGAAUUCCUGGUGUAGCGGUGGAAUUGCGCAGAUAUCAGGAGGAACACCGAUGGCGAAGGCAGGUCACUUGGCCGCAACUGACGCUGAGGAGCGAAAGCAUGGGGACGAACCGGAUUAGAUACCCUGGUAGUCCAUGCCGUAAACGUUGGGCACUAGGUGUGGGGCUCAUUCCACGAGUUCCGUGCCGCAGCAAACGCAUUAAGUGCCCCGCCUGGGGAGUACGGCCGCAAGGCUAAAACUCAAAGAAAUUGACGGGGGCCCGCACAAGCGGCGGAGCAUGCGGAUUAAUUCGAUGCAACGCGAAGAACCUUACCAAGGCUUACAUACACCGGAAAAGUGCAGAGAUGUGCCCCCGUAAGGUCGGUGUACAGGUGGUGCAUGGUUGUCGUCAGCUCGUGUCGUGAGAUGUUGGGUUAAGUCCCGCAACAGCGC
This 761-nucleotide ribosomal RNA is filed under the name Cellulomonas sp. JRI05. RNAcentral's name for it is "bacterial SSU rRNA". It matches the Rfam family "Bacterial small subunit ribosomal RNA", at positions 323 to 1099 of the family's 1533-position model. Lineage: Bacteria; Bacillati; Actinomycetota; Actinomycetes; Micrococcales; Cellulomonadaceae. The record is from RNAcentral.